GGUCAUGAGUCCCAGUAACAAGCCCCGGCUUACUGGGCGGCAACCCUCCACCGCGGUGGGGUGCCCCGGGUGAAGACCUGGCCCUUGAAUGCGCAAGGCAUCAAGGACAAGCGCGGGUU
Molecule: non-coding RNA, 119 nt
Filed under: Glutamicibacter arilaitensis
Lineage: Bacteria; Bacillati; Actinomycetota; Actinomycetes; Micrococcales; Micrococcaceae
Description: Arthrobacter arilaitensis SAM-IV sequence
Rfam family: SAM (S-adenosyl methionine) riboswitch aptamer
About the family: SAM-IV is a mRNA element that regulates gene expression via direct sensing of S-adenosylmethionine (SAM or AdoMet). SAM-IV riboswitches share conserved nucleotide positions with the previously described SAM-I riboswitches sequence analysis and molecular recognition experiments suggest that SAM-I and SAM-IV riboswitches share similar ligand binding sites, but have different scaffolds.
Source: RNAcentral